CGGGCACCCCCGAGGCCACCGCACCCGCUCCCGGGGAGAACAUCGCCCGCCUCCCCCUUCGCCGCGGCCCCGGGAGGUUCCCGCCCGCAGGGCCCCCCGGGAACGAGGGCUCUGGGGCCCGCCGGGGCUCCGGCCACGGGCCCGCUCCGGCCGCGGGGAGCCGGGGCCCUGCCGGGGCAGGGAAGAACGGGGGCAGCCGUUCCCUCGUUCCUCCCACGCUCCGGGCCCCCGAGCAGAGCUGCCCGUCUGUCCCCGUGUCCCUUUGUCUGUCCUCAGGCGGCCCCAGGAGCUGGCACUGACCGUGCCGCGGCUCGGGCACAGGCUGCUCCCAGCUCUGCCUGCGGAACUUCGGCAAUUACCCACAGCAGUUCUUUGCCCCGCCAUCCAUAAGGUGCAGCUCAGCUGACACCUGCCAGACGGGGAAGGCCCUGCCUGGGAGGGAAACGGCUACAGGGGAGGAAACCAAGAAAUGCUCCAACCGGACGGUGCUGCGCGAGUCAAAAGAGGGGCAAGACCGCAGAGAAAUACAGUCAGGAAAUGCGCUUUUAUUCAGUCGCUGCAGGAGCCCUUCGCAGGCACGGGCCGGAGGGAGCGCGGUUGACUGGGCUGUGCCCGGCUGGGGACGGGCACCAAUUCAUCACUGCCCUGCUCAGGGAGGUUUUCCGGCCGUGUCCGGGCUUCACCCAACGGCUGCAAAGGUGCUCGUGCGACAACCGAGCUCAUUUGCAGGGAUAAAGGAGCCAAACGAGUCCGGAGGAAUCCCUCGCUCCGAGGCAAAGGCGUCGGUCGAGUGUCGCCGCCUGGUCCCGCCUGCGGGGGGGGCGUCUCCUCCAGUUUCCCAGGGAGAAGAACAGGAACUCACAGCCACCAAGGCCUGACAGUCCCCUGCAGCCAGAGCUCAGCACACACCCAGAGAGGCAAUUCCAGCAUCUAAAAGAAAAAAAAAAAAAGAAGAAAAAAGUGAUUUAUUUUGUUUUAAAAUUAUUUUAAGGACUGCUCCAACCCAGCUCUGAAGCUGCCAAGCCCAAACUGUCCCCAGCGCUCUGGAACAACAGGAUCUUCCCAGGGAUGAUGCAUUGGAAGCACAGCCCUCAUUCUCACCCUCCACACGCUCCCAGGCUCCCCCCAAAUUCAGGACAAGGGGCCAAAGGCCACUCGGGCCGGGGCUCUCUCUGCCUCUGCGGGCUCAGGGACUGCAGCCACCAGGGCCCUCCAGCACGGACAGCCUGGACCCAGAGCAGAUCCCUGGGCAUUAGCAGCGUCCUGGGCACACCUGGAGACAGAAACCAUCAGCCUCUGGGACAGCACUUCAUUGCCAGCACACACAGCCUGCCACAUUUAGGGGGACAGCUCUGGGACCACAAAGCCCAGUCUGACCCAGUUCUCCUGGGCACCAACACGGACUCCACAAACCCACAGGAAUGAGAAUGUUCUGCUGCUUUGACAAACUUCAGCCCAGCUUUGCAAACCUCAGUCCCUGCAGCUCCUGCUCUCCAGAGCCCCGUUCAGGGCUGGCUCCAGUUCCCUGGAGAACCUGCCCCAGCCCCACUCUGGGCCAGCCUGAGCAGAAGCCACUGGGCUGCACAAGGAAGAACCCUCCCCUGGCUGCUGCAGCUGGAGGGAGAUCCAGCUCCCAAUGGAAUGCUGGCAACAGCCUCCCAGAGGGUCUCUCCCCAGCCCUUGGCAGUGGCUCAGGAUGGCAGCAGCUCCAGUGCCAGCUCGGUCCCUGCACGAGUCCUUGUCCCAGCCCUGCCACACGGACACCCACGGGAGACACCCACGGGCACACAGGCCUUGCUUGCACAAUUCCUCACCCACAGCUGAGGGAAAGCCACAAUAUUAAGAAAUACCCUGGGUUGAGAGCACUCAUCACUCCAGUCCAUCAGGACUUGGAGGCAGUUGGGUAGGCAACAGACCCAAAUUCUAAUCCUACCUCUACAUUUCUAACAGGUUCUCUUAGAACGAUCCUGGACAGGAACUCAGACAACAGAACCCAUAGACUGCACAAGCAAUAACAGAAGGUUUGCCAUGAAGAACAGGAGUUCCUUGUUUUCCUUAACACUCUGGGACUGUAGGACCCAAUCUUUGCAACCAAGGGACACCAGAGAUGUGAUUAAUACUUAAACCUCUCCCCCGUGGUUCUGUCUCAGAGAACUGGGCCAGCCCCGAGCUACUCCCAGGUGCCUGCAGUGCUUUGGGGAGGGGCAGGACAAUGUCCCACUUCUGCUUGGAAACAUUCCAGAUGAGGAAAAGCCUCUUCCCUUCUCUCUCUCUGACCCAGAACCAAAGCAGUCCUGUAGGACAACACGGACUAUGCACGGAAGGCCCGAGUCAGUGGGGGAAAAAGCCUAAACAAACCAAACCACCCCAAAUUUCAAGAUAAAAACAUGCUGCUUCCUUAACAGGAGCACACCAAACUCAUUGAAGCCAGAGAGGAAAUUACAAACAAACAAAUAAACAAACAAAAGACCCAAAAAGAUGCUUUGCAGUGAUA
Long non-coding RNA from Pseudopipra pipra, 2494 nucleotides. RefSeq lists it as uncharacterized. Lineage: Eukaryota; Metazoa; Chordata; Aves; Passeriformes; Pipridae. The record is from RefSeq and is a predicted model, not a curated record. The transcript has 4 exons.